UACGUAGGUCCCGAGCGUUGUCCGGAUUUAUUGGGCGUAAAGCGAGCGCAGGUGGUUUAUUAAGUCUGGUGUAAAAGGCAGUGGCUCAACCAUUGUGUGCAUUGGAAACUGUUAGACUUGAGUGCAGUAGAGGAGAGUGGAAUUCCAUGUGUAGCGGUGAAAUGCGUAGAUAUAUGGAGGAACACCGGUGGCGAAAGCGGCUCUCUGGACUGUAACUGACACUGAGGCUCGAAAGCGUGGGGAGCAAACAGG
RNAcentral lists this ribosomal RNA (252 nucleotides) under uncultured microorganism. Its description in RNAcentral is "partial 16S ribosomal RNA". It matches the Rfam family "Bacterial small subunit ribosomal RNA", at positions 524 to 776 of the family's 1533-position model. The record is from RNAcentral.